CUUAACCCCAACUAUGCCGUGGACACCCUCCUGAUGGAGUGACUUUGACAUAAUCAAAGAUUAAGGACUUAACCACAAGACAACUAUGAUGCCUCAGGUCAAAGGACUACUUUGCAUUAUCCUAACCAUGAGUUCUCAUGUGACAUGAAUAUGAGAACUCUUCGUUGAUCGUGUUCAGUGAGCUCAUUCUCUAUUGAGCACCUACGUACUUGUCUUGAUGUCACACACACCAAUGACUCGAGACUAGUCACUCUCCCUGAGAGAAGACACAACACGUACUGAUCUUAACGGACUGUCAAUGCCCAAUUGGCAAUCCUAUGAUCAGGAACGUUUAGGAUGUGUUUACGAAAGAAUGGUCUCAUGAAUCUAACUUCUUUAGAUUGCAUUCUCCCAAUCACAUAUUCCUUGGACUUAUCGUUUAAGCAUAUAACAUUUAUAUGAGACGGCUCAAACAAUAAUCUUUGCCCUUUAUAUUUAAACUACAUUAGUUUAACUUUGUGAAAUGUCCGUAAAGUAUUAUCAUAUGAUUGGUUU
Molecule: long non-coding RNA, 534 nt
Filed under: Malus domestica (apple)
Lineage: Eukaryota; Viridiplantae; Streptophyta; Magnoliopsida; Rosales; Rosaceae
Description: long non-coding RNA (MDOM_LNC000132)
Source: RNAcentral